UUACAAUCUAUAUUUAUUUUCCGCUUGAGAUGCCGUUGGAGGGGGAAAUAUGUGAACUGUACCGCUUUGUUUCAAAUGGAACUCACGAGAAUUGGAUUUUGUUGUAUUUUUAACGGACGAUCCCUCAGAAGAGAAAUAAAGGAGAAUCGCCAAUCUCAAAGAGCUGUUGAAAAAGUGCACAUGAAUCAUAUAGGAUCCAGCAAAGGACUAAUAUUUGCUGUCGCUGAUAAUAACCCAACCACAUCCGUUGAUUUGUCGUAUAAAUGGUUUUCGCUCUCUAAUGGCAACCACUACGUAGAUAUGGCUUCAAACGGUAGCCCUAUAUCACCAGGUAUCGAGAUAUGGAAUGGAUACACAGCCGGCAUUAUACAGAUCAGCGACUCUGUUAAAGAUCUCAGCGAUGAUAUACGCGGGUGUCGACUUUCCAGCCAAAGACUUCCAUUGUUUCCAGAGUAUCAACGAGACUAUUGCUUAUUAGAGUGUGAGAUAAGACUGGUGAUCGACAAAUGCAAGUGUGUCCAGAUCACUCACCCCCAGAUCCCAGGUGUUCCGCACUGCACCGCUCACCAGCUGACAUGUGCCAGGCGAGCUGUUGUGUCAUUUGGUUUCGACGAAUGUAAGUGUCCGAGCAAUUGUGAGGUGGACACGAGUAUCGUUACCCAUUUUUCCUAUAAACUGGAUCAGAACUCGCCGACAUUCGAUUCUUUCUAUCAUCAUCUAAAUGUGUCCAGGAUCAGCAUAAUUCGUAUUUAUGUGAAGAACUACAACAGAAUGAUAACAAAACGUAAAUCAUACUUCACAAGUUUUAAUUUAUUUGCCCAGCUGGGGGGUGUCUUCAACGUAUUCUUUGGUGUCAGCGUGCUCAGUCUUCUGGAACUCUUGAUGGUCGCUUGGAGAACUCUUUACGAGUGGGCCAUGUUCAGAUAGUUU
Molecule: long non-coding RNA, 930 nt
Organism: Leptidea sinapis
Lineage: Eukaryota; Metazoa; Arthropoda; Insecta; Lepidoptera; Pieridae
Exons: 7
Source: RefSeq, a predicted model, not a curated record